Molecule: ribosomal RNA, 301 nt
Filed under: uncultured bacterium
Lineage: Bacteria
Description: partial 16S ribosomal RNA
Rfam family: Bacterial small subunit ribosomal RNA
Source: RNAcentral
CAGUAGCCACGGUAAUACGGAGGGCGCGAGCGUUACCCGGAUUUACUGGGCGUAAAGGGCGUGUAGGCGGCCUGGGGCGUCCCACGUGAAAGGCCACGGCUCAACCGUGGAGGAGCGUGGGAUACGCUCAGGCUAGAGGGUGGGAGAGGGUGAUGGAAUUCCCGGAGUAGCGGUGAAAUGCGCAGAUACCGGGAGGAACGCCGAUGGCGAAGGCAGCCACCUGGUCCACUUCUGACGCUGAGGCGCGAAAGCGUGGGGAGCAAACCGGAUUAGAGACCCGCGUAGUCCCUGUCUCUUAUAC